GCCUCUAUAGCUCAGUGGCCAGAGCACUCGCCUUGUAAGCGAGCGGUCCUCGGUUCGAAUCCGAGUGGGGGCU
Molecule: transfer RNA, 73 nt
Filed under: Synechococcus phage S-CREM1
Lineage: Duplodnaviria; Heunggongvirae; Uroviricota; Caudoviricetes; Pantevenvirales; Kyanoviridae
Rfam family: tRNA
About the family: Transfer RNA (tRNA) molecules are approximately 80 nucleotides in length. Their secondary structure includes four short double-helical elements and three loops (D, anti-codon, and T loops).
Source: Rfam by way of RNAcentral